GCAGGGAGCGCGUGUAUGGACUCUGCUCGAGGAGUGGCUCUGGUGUACUUCCCCGACAUCAGAUCGAGACUUUUCGAGUGGGGCCCUGUACGCACUCCGUGAUUUG
Corynebacterium glutamicum ATCC 13032 is the source of this 106-nucleotide regulatory RNA element. It matches the Rfam family "mraW RNA". Lineage: Bacteria; Bacillati; Actinomycetota; Actinomycetes; Mycobacteriales; Corynebacteriaceae. The record is from Rfam.